Long non-coding RNA from Monopterus albus (swamp eel), 488 nucleotides. RefSeq lists it as uncharacterized. The record is from RefSeq and is a predicted model, not a curated record. The transcript is spliced from 4 exons. NCBI's taxonomy places the organism in Eukaryota, Metazoa, Chordata, Actinopteri, Synbranchiformes, Synbranchidae.
GGGUUCUUCAAGUUAGUCUCCCGGAUGGCAGCUCCGUAAGUUUGGUUGUAGUGGAGAAUCAAGAGGGACGGCAGUGUAAGACGUUCUGCUACUCAGGCCAUGGAACCCAGGACAAGAAUGUGGGACUAGCAGAGCUUAAAUAGUCUCGGGAAGGACCGACAGCGUUCCGGGCCCCUCUCACGGACAUCAACUUGAUCAGGUUCUGAUCCUCUAAAUGGCCAGAAGCAAGGCAUUCUUCCUUGAUGCAAAAGAAACCUGACUCUACAUCCAGUGGUGAUGCUACACUUCCACAGUCCCACCUUGAAGCCUGGCUGAUGUGUACACAACUGGAAGGUGAAUUCCUGUCAACCCUCAUGAAUAUUAAACCCACCUCAAGAGAACCUGUGCUUCAUUUUAUUAUGAAUGUUUUUGGUGCUGGACUACAGUGAAGAAUUAAGACACACAACCAGACAGAUUUAAUGUAAUGCUUUAUUGAAGAAACUCCAUUU